Mycena crocata is the source of this 99-nucleotide non-coding RNA. The record is from the annotation of a GenBank genome assembly. Lineage: Eukaryota; Fungi; Basidiomycota; Agaricomycetes; Agaricales; Mycenaceae.
UCUUGGGUGGUCCAACGGUUAAGAUUCCCGCUUGUCAUGACAAGUCAAAAGAUCUGUUUCAGAUCGCGGGCGACCGGGGUUCGACUCCCCGCUCGAGAG